AUUAGUGCCACACCCGUGGCAUAUGGAGGUUCCCAGGAUAGGUGUCCAAUGAGAGCUGUAGCUGCCAGCCUAUGCCACAGCCAUAGCCAUGCCAGAUCCGAGCCACAUUUGUGACCUACACCACAGCUCACGGUAAUGCUGGAUCCUUAACCCUCUGAGCGAGGCUAGGGAUUGAACCUGCAACCUCAUGGUUCCUAGUCGGAUUUGUUUCCGCUGAGCCCCAACGGGAACUCUGGUAUUUACAAUGUUCUUAAUUUUCAUUUAACCACAUAAGCAGGUGUUUAUAUUGAAUAAUAUGUGAAUUAUAUAUGAGUAAAAACAUUCCGUUUUAUUCACGAGUCAUGCUGGGGAUUGCAAUCUUAAGAACUUUAAUUUCAUCUAAAUUUUAUUAAUCAGUUUAAAAAAUUGUUCCUUUUCCCCCCAAUACCAGAACUCAAAGGCUUCUUGAACUUUAUUUCCCAAAGGCAGCAGAAUGUGCUCUGAACCCCUGCCAUGUAAUCUUGUAUUAUGAACCCUUUCCAUUUAUGACUUCUAGGCAGCUAAAAAAAUCACUCCUCAAAUCACUUUAAAUCAUCUAUAAAUCACUCCCUUAUAAUCAAGAGCCCUUCCUUCUAGUAAGCUAUUCAAAAGAUAUUUCCAAAAGUGAGAAGGCUGACCAAUGAUUUUCACAAGAUAACGCAGUGUAAAAAAUUGGGACAUUCAUCUGAGAAAGACCUGAGUUUGGGUUCCUGGUCCAUUACUUACAAGCUUUGUGACCUUAAAUAUUUUUUAUUUUUUUACGAGUUUCAAUUUCCUUCUCAUGAAUUGGAGAUGCCCACACUUACCCCAUACUGUUUUUGUGAAUAUUAAAUAAGAUACUUAUGUAAAUUUCAACAGAUUAAUGUCUAUACAGAAAAAUUGUUAAUUCUAAUCCCUACUGAUUUAUAAAUAGAGUCAUCACAAUAGAUGUGAACAAACAGUUUGACCUUUACAAUAACUUUGCAAAAUCUCUGAGUAGAAAACUUUUUUGUACCAGGGUAGAAUGUUUAAAAACUUGGCUUUACAAACAAAUAGCAUCUGCCACUAUAAAUAUUGAUACUUUAAAAUGUCUAUGUUUCUCACAGUGUGUGUGUGUGUGUAUGUGUCUUUCUAAAUUUUUGAGACAGAGUUCUGUUGGAUCCAGUUUUUUGUGUGUUGGGUUUUGAGGUGCUGCUCACUCAACUAAAGGGAAACUAUUUAAAAUGCCAAGUUUCUGACAGAUGUCUCUGAGCAUAUAAUGACUGAUUAAAUCUAAAGCAGUGAAUUCCAUGAUUACCUAAGUUUACAUACUAUCUAUGUGUUAACAGCUAGUGGGAGUAUCCCAUUUGUUUGCUUUGGAUGUUAUGAAUUGUUUGUGAUGAUAUUAUUUUUCCUUCUCCAAAGUUGUGGUUAGAUUAAGGACUGAGUGUUUUGCCAAGCACACAUCCUUUUGAAGUGGUUUGUAUUACAUUUUUAGGGAAAUAUAUUUUGGGGGUAAUUUUAAUUGUUUAGAUGAUCAUAAAAUUUGUACACAGAGAUCAGAUAAUAAUAGCAGCUAAAAUUACCAACCUUUACCCUAGAAAAUGAUAACAAAUGAUUUGCACAUGUCAUUUCCCCUAAACCACACAAUCUGUCCAUUAGAUGGGUGUUAUCAGGGAAAGUAAGUAACUUGUCCAGGGUUGGAAAACUUAAUUUCAGAAGCCUAAAACAGGUUGGAACUUUUAAAAUGAGCGUGAAAAUAUAAGCCGUCUGAUUUCCUAGAAACAAAUAGAAAUGAAUACAAGAUCAAAUAUCAAAUUAUUAGACUACAUGAGAGAAUAAAAGAUAAAGCAUCACUCCCCAGAGCUCUGGUGAGGAAGUCUGUCAGCAUUAUUUUCCAAUAGGGCUGAAAAAUAUUUGUUUUGAUCUCACAUCCAGCUGCAUCCCCUCCCCUGGACUAUGGAAGAUCAGUGGGUUAAAUUCUAAUCUCAUAUUCAGUAAUGGAAUGUUUUGAAUACUCAAGUUGAGUGAGGAACACAUACUAUUCAUUUCUGUAUCUUAAUACUGACUAUUCUGUGAAUUCUGGAUUCCCACAUUCAAGUACCUGCUAGAUAUUCGCAUUUGGACAUUUACCACAAUUUCAGCUUCAAUGUAUCUAAAUGUAAGAGGGCCAGCUAUAUGCACAAACAAGUAUUUAUUACCAAGACCAUCAGGACAGGCAUUAGACUCCAAGGCCUGAUUUCUUGUGUUCCAAUUAGAUGUUACUCCUUAUCUGUGUGAACAAAUAAAUACAUCAUCUUUGCUUCACAUUUCCCAUCUAUGCAGUGGAAAUAAUAACACUUAUUUUAUGGGAUUGUUAUGAAGAUGAAAGGAAUUAUUGCAUGUAAAGCUCUUAGUCAAGUGCUGGGCACAUAGCAAGUACCAUGGCAAUAUUAGUGGUUAUUAGUUUUCUUCUCAUUCAUCCAGGCUGAAAACUAUAGUCUUUUGUUUGGAUUACUAGAUGUGGGCAGGAUGUGGGAGCAAGGCUAAGGGAGCAGUUAGCUGCUGAUUCCUGUUAGUCCUUCUUUUGGAAUAUUUAUCCCAUUUUCUAUAGUCUUCUCCAUCACAAAAGUAAUCUUUUUAUCGCUGGUAAUUUUGUGCCUACAGUUUACGCCCUAUACCACCAAAAGAUCUAUCUUUUUAAACAAUGAUUUAACAGAAUUAGUCUCCUACUCAAAAACAUUCAAUGUUUAAUGCUAUAGCAUAUAGUGCAAAUUCCUCAUUCUGGGAAGAAAAUCCCUUCAAUCCAGCCCCAACCUAUGUUUCUAGCCUCAUCUCUCUCUCUUGUAUGUCAAGGAAGCUUAGACAAACCAGUUCACUCAAUGCUCUGUGCUCUCCUUCACGCCACGUUCCUAGGGCCUGAAUAUCCUCUUAUCACUAUUCAAAUCCUACCUGCACUCUUGGGUCAGCUCCAAUUUUGUGUCCCCCAAAAACUCUAGGCAUGCCAUAAGCUCUAUAACUUGGAGCACACAUGAAGGGCAUCAGGAUAAAAAGUCAAAUUUUAUUAAUUCCAAGUGCACAUAUAUAGGGGAUGAUUUUAAGCAAAGAAAAGGUAGGGGGUUUGAGAAAUAUUCAAUGAAUUGUAAAAUUUUAAAACUACUCAAUUAUUUUCAUAUUUAUAUAGUGAUGCAAGCAAUGACUGAGGUAACCAGCAAAGGGCUUUCUGUAUCCUAUUUUGAUAUAUAGGUCUCUUGUAUAACUUUAUGCUUGAAAUCACUGUUCAAGAUCAAAUUAACAGCCCUCUCCAUUUCCCUUGUCCAUUCUGCUAUGAGUUAUACUCCUAAGAAAUCUUGCAGCUCAAAAAAAGUCAAUGGAAAAAACAUGAGUUUCAGAUUCAUAACAUUGUUGAAUAAGGAAUUUCAAUAAAUGUGCUUUCUUAUAGCUAUAGAUGUAUGAUUAUAAAAUGUAAACCUUACUGAGAAAACCCAGUAUUUUAUUAUAUCAAAGCUUUUCUCAACUACUGCUAGCACCACUGAUAGCCAGAACUUCUUAUCAUUCCUCUCAUCUCAUAUACUAAAGGAAGCAGAGCUGCUCAAAUAAAGCAGGAGUGCUGUGAGCAAGUUAUAGUUUCCUCUCUGAGGAUGGGGAAGGUUCCUAAUUAAGACUGCAUUACAAACAGAUGAUCAUGUCAUGCAAAUUGAAAGCUGACACUGUACUUGAAUAAUUUUUCCAUAGAAAAGGAAAUAUUAACUUCACAACUACCUGCCAAAUUAUCAUGAAUUGUCAUUUACAGAAGUAAUUGCAAAGACUAAAGAACCAGGUAAUCUGGAUUCUGAUUUGACCUUGGGCAAAUCAUUUAAGACUAAAGAUUUGAGUUGUCACACCUAAAAAAAUAAAGGGUGGGAUAGAUGGUUUCAAAUACCCCCAAACACAUCAAUAUUUCUAUGCCCUUUUCUUUUCUUACCUAUAAGGCUAUAUAUUAUUUGUGCAAGGUUCUGUUACCCACUUACCAUGACCUUAAAGUUCAAUGAAUAUGUCUAUUCUCACAUACCUUACUUUUAAAAGAACUAGAUUAUAAAUUCUUAAUAUUGAAAUAGUUAUAAAUUUUGAAUUUUCUUUUAUAAUUCAAAAGACAUUUUGGAUUUUAAAUGCCCUGUUCCAAAUACCACAUAAUUACCUAAAAAAUUCAGUAGAUUCAUUGUCUUCAUACUUUUUUCUAUACUUCACAGUAUCAUAUAUAUAUAUUUUUUUGGCCUUGCUCAUGUCAUGCGGGAGUUGUGGGGCCAGGGAUCAACCCAGUGCCACAGCAGGGACCUGAGCCACUGCAGUGACAAUGCCCGUCCUUAACCUGCUAUGCCACAAGGGGAACUCCAUGUAUUUUUAAUGACUCUAAAACCCUAACUACAUUACUGCAUUUCCAAGGCCUAAUAGUUUAGUCUUGUUAAUUUUGCUUUCAGAAUAUUUCAGAAACAUAGUCUCCUUUUGUGGAGACAAGAAGCAUCAAAUAAUUGCUUAACAUGUUAAUGUUAAUGUUCUGGGAUUAUUUGAAAUCCGAGACCAUGUUGGAUCUUUUGGUUUAACACAGCAUUUAGUGAUUACUUCAGGAUUUCUUGGUUAUCUUGCUGGUGAGGAUAAUGUGAACACCUCACACCAGGUCUCAUUGCUUUCUUUACGUGUUGUGUUAGUGGUCAGGAGUUCUUCUCCCAGUCUUUCUUUUGUGAUUCAAGCAACUGGAAUGCACUGUGACAAACAGAUACCUUUAAGGUUUCACAACCUGAAAAAUGAAAAAAAAGAUGUUUAUAACUACUGAACAGUUUUUGUUGUUGUUGUUAUUUCUAGGGCUGCACCCGUGGCAUAUGGAUGUUCCCAGGCUAGGGGUCUAAUCAGAGCUGUAGCUGUCACCUAUGCCAGAGCCACAGCAACGCCAGAUCCGAGCAGUAUCUGCAACCCACACCACAGCUCAUGGCAAUGCCAGAUCCUCAACCCACUGAGCGAGGCCAGGGAUCGAACCCGCAACGUCAUGGUUCCUAGUCAGAUUCGUUAACCACUGAGCCAUGACGGGAUUCGAGCAGUUUGACUUAUUAUGCUGAAGAUUCGAUUUAUAUUUUAAAGAUAACACCUCAGUUUUGCAGACCAAAUAAUAGCAUCUGGGUAAUAGCAUUAAGGAAAAAAAAAAGGCCAAGUAAUGAAGUCAUUAGCCAAGUAAGGAAUCCAUCUAAAUAGAAUAGUUUAAAUUUUAAAUCGGCAUAGCUGAUAAGGUAGGAUAUUCUUCUUUAAAAAUCAGAAGCCCCAAAUUCUUUGCAAAAAUGGAAGUCCCAACUUCGAGGAAUUCUAUGUAAUUGGAUGGUGACACCUAUUGGCCAGAUUUAUCACUGCAAGCCUGUUAUUUCAAACAUCUAUAAGCAUAGUUAAAUAAAGGGUUAGUGAAGUCCCAGGGACAAAAUUAGGGAUUCUUAUCCAUUUAAGAUAUUCAUAUUGUGGAUACAUAUUAAUGUAAUAUUUUAAAUUAGAUAAACAUACCUCACAUAUAUCUGUUUUGCUUUUAGAAGUUGUUUUGUUCACUAGAUAUAUGCUCUAUGAAAUGGAGUGGUACAGUGGAAAGACCAACAGCUAAAGGCAAUCCUGGGCUGCCAAUCCUGGACUCCUCCUGCUGACUGGGACCGAACUAUCCAUAUCAACUACAGGAGAGAUCUGCUAUCAGAAAUGACUGUGAAGUAAUGAGAUUGACUUUUACAUGUAAUUUAUGUAAUUAAUUAGUCUCAGUGCUUUUCAGAUAUCCUUCAUAAUACUCAAUGUCAGAAAACUAGCUAUGUUAAGCUUCUACAGAAUCUUUAACUUGCCAGUGAAAAUAAAUUUAAAAAUGAAAAACAGGAUUAAUUUGAGAAGCAGGCCAGUACAUCAUACCUUUUCUACUUUAUCACCACACACACUUAAUUUUCUUGGAGGGAAUCCAUGUUCACUGUUAUAAACAAAACUUCUGAAACAAAACCCAUAAAGCUUUCCGAUAGGCCCAACUUUAAUAUCAAUUGUAUCUCCACUGUAGAUGCCUUGAUCAACUCUCAGGUUUUUUCCAAUAUACUAAAAUGAUUUUUGCCACCUGGAGACAUUAUUGUCCUGAAUCAAUGUAGAGCUUGGAGCUUAUUUGCAUAAAAGUACAUAGUAUGUUGAUCUACAUUUGAUUCUAAGGUAACUAUAAAUAGAGAGCAAUCUAAAAGCCAAGUGUUCAUCCAUUUGAGAUUAAUUGCCUCUUCCAGGUCACUAAUUCAUACUCCAAUGUCCCAGGAGAGUUAAUUUAUGUCCCAUGAGUG
Molecule: long non-coding RNA, 6263 nt
Filed under: Sus scrofa (pig)
Lineage: Eukaryota; Metazoa; Chordata; Mammalia; Artiodactyla; Suidae
Description: lncRNA (ENSSSCG00000043724.1)
Source: RNAcentral